This 2384-nucleotide long non-coding RNA is filed under the name Pan troglodytes (chimpanzee). RNAcentral describes it as "lincRNA". The record is from RNAcentral. Lineage: Eukaryota; Metazoa; Chordata; Mammalia; Primates; Hominidae.
AGCACAGCACGAGGCAGAGGAACAGAGAGAGGUCCUCGGAAGUCUCUUUCCAGAAAAUCUAAUUUCAUCAUUGAGAAAUCUUCUGUCUUAAACAGCCUCCACCACCGCCAUAAAUUUACAUAUUCUAUAUGCCGCCGGAACGGAGUGGGCCCUAUUUGCAUAAUGCUGCUGGAGGGGCUCACGCUCCUCUUGAACCUGAAUGUAGCAGGAGCGAGGAAGCAAUUAUUAAGCUGUAGACGGUGGCAGGGAGAGAGGCCCUCAGAUGGAUUUCGACUCCAAACCUCAUUCGCCAGGGCUGCUCAUUACCGAAGGCCUGGAUCCCAGGCUGAAGGUGGAUCCCAGGGCUGGGAAAAAUCAGUGUGAAUUGCUUUCUCCAGGUUAUGUCUGCAGCCAGGCCGAGGCCAGAUAUGGGGGGUCUUUGAGCAUCCUGGAUGAUUCAUUGCCUUGCUCAGCCAUUUAUUCAACAAUCACAGGACACUGGACACAGAGAUGAACAAAACAAAUGGACUUCCUGCCCUCACAAGGAUUACAGCUCUAGAGCAGGAAGACAAACCUUCAUCAAACAACAUGUAAAUACAGUCAUGCGUCAUUUAACAACAGGGAUACGUUUUGAGAAAUGUGUCAUUAGGCGAUUUCAUCAUCGUGCAAACAUCAUGGGGUACUUACACAAACCUAGAUGGUAUUAAUAUUUUUGCAUGUUUUUAUUUACAUAUUAGGUUGGUGCAAAAGUAAUUGUGGUUUUGCCUUAAAAGUAAUGGCAAAAACCAUGAUUACUUUUACACCAACUUAAUAUUUUUUCAUAUGGAAAACCAAAUGUUUCAGCACCAUUACUGAAUAUCAGUCAUUUUCCCUACUUGAUCUGCAAUGUCAAUAUCAAAUGCUAUUCAUCAGGUUUCUAUGUAUGUUCCAUUAUAAUCUUAUGGGACCACAAUCAUAUAUGUGGUCCAUUGUUGACCGCUAUUUUGUUAUGCAGUGGAUAACUGUAUAUAUCAUAUCCCCACUAAGGAGAGAGGUUAAGAUGGAGUCACAGUAGUUGGCCUGGUCUGAGAGAUUGGGAACGACAUCUCUGAGGACUAGGGCUGAGAAGGGAUUAGGACUAAAGGAAGAGGGGAAGGAAGGGCCUCCCUGGCAGACAGAGCAGUGAGUACAAAGGCCAUGUGGUGAAAGGAAGUAUUGGAAGUGACUGGGAGUAAAAUAAUGGAUGUGAGAAGCUCUCAAGAGGUACACGAAAGAUUGCAUAAAACUCUAAAAUGUUUAGAACCCUGGUAUCUGAGCCAAUGAUUCUGGAACUGUGGCCUAAAGAACACUUAUUCAGAAAUGCAGGCCCCAGACCUCUUGAAUCAGACUCCAGUGGCAGGACUCUGGGAUGUAUAUUUUACUGAAAGAUUAGAUACACCUUAAAGCUUUAAAACUUGUCUGUUUGCAUGACUAUGUCCCUCUGCAGCCCACAACCUGGGAGGACUGGGACGCUAUCUUAUAUAUCCGUAUGUAUCUCCUGUGCUUGACACAGAAGAGAAUAUACUUGUUGAAUGAGUGAAUGAAAUGAUUCAAUGUUUUCUCAAUGUGAAAUGUUGUCAUCAUCAUCAUUAAGGAGAAUAUUGCAAGACAAGUUAUAAAGCUCAUGUCACAAACAGGUCCUGGAGACUCUGGGUCCUCUGAGGUCAAAUCUUGAAGUGCAAUUGGCAUUUCCGGGAGUGGAAUCCAGGACUCACACCCAGGACAAGCAAAGACACAGUGGCAGUGAGAUCAUUACAUACACUCUCCUGAAGCACUCCCCUACAAUCCCCCUACAACACAGUAUUUUGGCAACUAUUGCUAGAAAAAUGGGAACUACGAUGUAUUAAGUACCUACCAUGUGUUACCUCCUAUAUGAGCUUUAUCUCAUUUAAUCUUGGCAGUGGUCUUAUUUUACACACAAUGAAACUGAGGCUCAGAGAGGUGAAGUCACUAAGUCAGGUAACGGCAGAUCUGGCAUGCACACCUAAGUCUAUGUAUCACCUGAGCCCAAGCUCAUUGCUUCUUCCUGACCAUGCUUCUUCCCUUCCAGCCCUUCCACUCCCACGGCUCCCCACUCCAUCCCCGUGAUAAGCCAAAGUUGAGUACUCUGGACACCAGAAUAAUAAGUGGGAAAGAGAGGGACGGGUCUGAUGAGUUACCAUGAAAUGAGCACCGGACUGUGGGUCAAGAGGCCAACCCCAGCUUUGCUGCUGACAUUCUGUGUUGUCUUGAACAAGUCACACCCUCUCUUAAGGUCUCCAUUUCUUCAUACAUAAGUGAAAUAAAUAUAUAAAAAUAUCCACCUGUCCUGUAUCAUGGACUUUAAUGAGAUAAUGUCUAGAAAAAAGAGUUCUAUGGCACAAAUAAAAUAAGUGAAUAGUAACUAA